CGGACGGGUGAGUAACGCGUGAGAAUCUAACUUCAGGACGGGGACAACAGUUGGAAACGACUGCUAAUACCCGAUAUGCCGCAAGGUGAAACCUAAUUGGCCUGAAGAAGAGCUUGCGUCUGAUUAGCUAGUUGGUGGGGUAAAGGCCUACCAAGGCGACGAUCAGUAGCUGGUCUGAGAGGAUGAGCAGCCACACUGGGACUGAGACACGGCCCAGACUCCUACGGGAGGCAGCAGUGGGGAAUUUUCCGCAAUGGGCGAAAGCCUGACGGAGCAACGCCGCGUGAGGGAGGAAGGUCUUUGGAUUGUAAACCUCUUUUCUCAAGGAAGAAGUUCUGACGGUACUUGAGGAAUCAGCCUCGGCUAACUCCGUGCCAGCAGCCGCGGUAAUACGGGGGAGGCAAGCGUUAUCCGGAAUUAUUGGGCGUAAAGCGUCCGCAGGUGGUCAGCCAAGUCUGCCGUCAAAUCAGGUUGCUUAACGACCUAAAGGCGGUGGAAACUGGCAGACUAGAGAGCAGUAGGGGUAGCAGGAAUUCCCAGUGUAGCGGUGAAAUGCGUAGAGAUUGGGAAGAACAUCGGUGGCGAAAGCGUGCUACUGGGCUGUAUCUGACACUCAGGGACGAAAGCUAGGGGA
RNAcentral lists this ribosomal RNA (634 nucleotides) under uncultured cyanobacterium. RNAcentral describes it as "bacterial SSU rRNA". It matches the Rfam family "Bacterial small subunit ribosomal RNA", at positions 99 to 767 of the family's 1533-position model. The record is from RNAcentral. Lineage: Bacteria; Bacillati; Cyanobacteriota.